RNAcentral lists this long non-coding RNA (628 nucleotides) under Lonchura striata (white-rumped munia). RNAcentral's name for it is "domestica (Bengalese finch) lncRNA (ENSLSDG00000008382.1)". Lineage: Eukaryota; Metazoa; Chordata; Aves; Passeriformes; Estrildidae. The record is from RNAcentral.
CUUCUUCUGCUUUCUCAUUUCUCUACUUUUCUUCUUUCUUCUUUUCCCUCGUUUUCUAUUUUCCUCUUUUGUCUUUCCUCUCAUUUUUCCUCUAUUUUCAUCUUUCCCUUUUUCUCAUUUUUCCUCCUUUUAUUUUCUUUUUUCCUCCCUCUAUUUCUUUUUUCCUGUUUCUUUUUCCUCUUCUGCUUUUUCUCUCCUUCUCUCCUUUUUUCCUUAUUUUUCUCUCCUUCUCUCCUUUUUCCUCUCCUUUUUUCCUUAUUUUUCUCUCAUUCCCUCCUUUUUUCCUUAUUUCUCUCCUUCUCUCCUUUUUCCUCUCCUUUUUUCUUUAUUUUUCUCUCCUUCUCUCCUUUUUUCCUUAUUUCUCUCUUUUUCCCUCCUUCUCUCCUUUUUCCUCUCUCUAUUUCUCUCCUCCCCUUUUUAUGUCCCUUUUUCCUCUCUCUUUCUCUAGCUCUCUCUUUUUCUCUCCUUCCCUGGCUUCCACCUCUCUCUUUCCCCCGCUUUUCCCUCUCUUUUUUCCUCUCCUUAUUUUCACUGUUUCUCCCGCUUUUCCCUCUCUCUUUUUCCUCCCUUCUUCUCCCCUCCUCAUCUCUCCCCCGUGCCGGCAUCACCCCUCGCUCCCGUUCCGGGA